This 786-nucleotide long non-coding RNA is filed under the name Homo sapiens (human). RNAcentral's name for it is "PREDICTED lncRNA (TCONS_00188080)". Lineage: Eukaryota; Metazoa; Chordata; Mammalia; Primates; Hominidae. The record is from RNAcentral.
CAGGUGGAUCAUCUGAGGUCGGGAGUUCGAGACCAGCCUGGCCAGCAUGGUGAAACCCUGUCUCUACUAAAAAUACAGAAAAUUAGCUGUGUGUGGUGGCGCGCGCCUGUAAUCCCAGCAGGAGGCUGAAGCACAAGAAUCACUUGAACCUGGGAGGUGGAAUUUGCAGUAAGCCAGGAUCACGCCACUGCACUCCAGCCUGGGCGACAGAGUGAGACUCCAUCUCCAACCAACCAACCAACCGACCCCACUUCUCCAUGCUUCUCAGAAUACAUUUGCAUUUUUGGAUGGAGGGCAAGGCUUUCUAGUGGGCCCUUGGUACCUGCCUCUUUGGAAGGCACCUCCGGUCACAUCAGGAGCAUGGAUGGGGCCCCACCUGCAUACACAUGACUUCCUUGCCCCUGGUGCUUUCCUGUGGCCAGUGAGAAGCAUCAGCAAGAAACUGCUGCAGGUGAGAUCUCCAGAGACUCUGACUUUAGAAGUGCACCAGACCAGGAAUCUCUGUAACAAUACUGCCUGUGAAGAGCAUGGCUCAGGCCUUGUUUGAUCUGAUAGUCAUGGCCACCCAUGAAGGACUUGUAUUUGCCGAGUAUUCCAAAAAAUAUCUCGCAUCUGACUCUAUCCUAGGCUGAACUGUUAAUCUGUUCUUUCAUCCCUUCAAUCAGUAUUUGUUGAGUGCCCAUAAUGGAGGAGGCCUUGUUUGAAGUGCUAAAGAUACAGCUGUGAAUACGACAAAGUCCUUGCCCUCAUGAGCUUACAUUCUAGUAGGAGAGACAGAAAAUAAAC